UGGCGGACGGGUGAGUAAUGUCUGGGAAACUGCCCGAUGGAGGGGGAUAACUACUGGAAACGGUAGCCAAUACCGCAUAACGUCGCAAGACCAAAGAGGGGGACCUUCGGGCCUCUUGCCAUCGGAUGUGCCCAGAUGGGAUUAGCUAGUAGGUGGGGUAACGGCUCACCUAGGCGACGAUCCCUAGCUGGUCUGAGAGGAUGACCAGCCACACUGGAACUGAGACACGGUCCAG
RNAcentral lists this ribosomal RNA (235 nucleotides) under uncultured bacterium. Its description in RNAcentral is "partial 16S ribosomal RNA". It matches the Rfam family "Bacterial small subunit ribosomal RNA", at positions 96 to 334 of the family's 1533-position model. The record is from RNAcentral.